Molecule: ribosomal RNA, 97 nt
Filed under: uncultured bacterium
Lineage: Bacteria
Description: partial 16S ribosomal RNA
Rfam family: Bacterial small subunit ribosomal RNA
Source: RNAcentral
AUGGGAGUCGGGAAUGCCCGAAGCCGGUGGCCCGAUCGAGAGAAGGGAGCCGUCGAAGGCAGGCCGGAUGACUGGGGUGAAGUCGUAACAAGGUACC